RNAcentral lists this long non-coding RNA (1818 nucleotides) under Capsicum annuum. Its description in RNAcentral is "long non-coding RNA (CANN_LNC019044)". The record is from RNAcentral. Lineage: Eukaryota; Viridiplantae; Streptophyta; Magnoliopsida; Solanales; Solanaceae.
GGUGGCUACGGCUGUGACACUAUCAACUUUAAUCAUGUUUGCCGGAUUUUUCACUGUGCUUUUAGAGAUGUCACCAUGCCAGUCAAGAUUACCUUGUGCAAUAUGGUUCAACAAGGUAUAGUGCUCAUCAUAGAUUUUCUCCAAUGCUUGACCACCUACAACUGAAUCUAACAAAAUUUUCGUAUUAUGGUCAAUAGCUUCUAUAAAGGUGUAAGCCAGUACCUCAUUGGACUGUUGGUGAUGUGGACAGUCCUUGAGAAGUGAUUUAAACCUCUCCCAUGCAUGAUAUAAGUUUUCAUCCGGCUUCUGCUUGAAAUUCAAGAUUUCACUGCGUAGCCUUGCAGUCUUGCCGGAUGGGAAGAAACGGAUGAGGAACUUCCUUGCCAAGUCGUCCCAUGUAGUGAUAGAAACUGCCGGCUCGACGUUCAACCACUUCUUUGCUUCCCCCAAAAGUGAGAAGGGAAAUUAAUCCGUAGAGACUCCAGGGGGAAUGAACAUGUCACUUAUCUCCAAAAAGUUUUGUAAGUGGACCUGUAGAUCCUCAUGUGACAAACCAGUAAACUACUCACUACUGUGCAAAAGUUGCUGAAUUUGCGGACUUCGGUAGAGAAGUACUGCUUCUCUCCUUAUUUGGUAUAAGCAUUGCUCAGGUUCGGGAUAUAGUUCAGCCAACUCUCCGUCCCUUGAUAGCUUACUUGCUUUACAAACUUGUGCCUGCAAAUUCAGAAGCUAAGAUCAAGUACUUAUCACUCACGAAAUCAAAUGACAAAACUAAACUAAGACAGUUGUCAAUUUUCAAGUCCUCGUCAACAAUGCCAAAAACUUGUUGUGCCCAAGCGCACACGCAAGUGUACGUGGUCCACCAAGUAGUAAAAUGGCCUUAAAAAUCCAAGUAUCGAUCCCUCAUGGACUUGUGUUAAACAACUAUCUAAUUCUAGUUCACUAUGAAGAUGAAUCAAGUGCUAAAGUAACCAAGAGUAAUUGAGUGUUAACAAUUAAAAGUAAACUUAACAAUAAGGUAAUGUAAAGGUCUUGAACAAUAAUGCAGGUGCAAGGUGAUAUGCUAAGUAGGUUGAAGCAGGUGCAGAAAGGAGAUAAAUUUAGCAUUAAAAAACUCUACUUAUUGUAGAUACCUCAGCACCCUAAAGUAACCUGGAAAAAGCUGACCUUGCAGCCUCAUAUGCAGCUUACUCAUAAAUUUAAUUUAUGGCUAGCUUUGCAACAAAAAUUGGCAACAGUUGAUAGACUGAUGAAAAUUGUUAUUCAAGCUCCUAAAACCUGUGUGUUUUGUGGGCUACCUGAUGAACUGUUUGACUAUUUAUUUUUUGACUGUUUUACUGUGGCAUUACAAAGGGCAUUUGGAGCAGGUUGCUUUGAUGGCUUGGUCAAAAUAGAAGAAUUGGAAGCUGGAGUGCUGAGGUUGACUGGUUGGUGACAGGUAUGAAGCAGACUUUAGGUUUCUGGGAAAUUGCUGCAGUUUUGUUCAACAUGACGAUCUACUCAAUAUGGAGAGCCAGAAACACCCUCAGAUUUCAGAAAGGCACCUAUUCUAGUGAUAAAAUUUGUAGAGACAUUGCAUUACAUACAAAGGGAAACCUUGUAGCUAGAUGGCACAAGUACCUGCAGACUUUAAAUUCCUAUCCUUGAUGUAUAAAUAGAGUGUAGUUGUUCUUUACUUUCAGAUGUGUGUAUAUGCUUAGGUACUUAUAGGAUGUGAGAGGUGAUUGGUCAGCAAUCCCCAAGGUUUGUAAUGACUAUAUUUUGGUGAAAUCGAAACACUGUUUACCCAAAAAAAUAAUGGGGAGAAACUCAGGGUUA